This is a non-coding RNA of Plectropomus leopardus (leopard coralgrouper), 242 nucleotides long. NCBI's taxonomy places the organism in Eukaryota, Metazoa, Chordata, Actinopteri, Perciformes, Serranidae. The record is from RefSeq and is a predicted model, not a curated record.
CUUGUCAGUCCUGACUUGCAUCUUGUCAUCUUUUUCUUUCUUCACAGAUCCAGUUCUUCAGGUCCCCACACAUGUGGCAGAACCAGCGUUUCUGCCUGACCCCAAUGAUGGCAGCCUGUACUCUCUGGGAGGAAAGAACAACGAAGGCCUCACAAAAUUACCGUUCACUAUCCCUGAGUUGGUCCAAGCUUCCCCCUGCCGCAGCUCUGACGGAGUCCUUUACAUGGGUAAGGCUAAUUCAC